CAUACUUUCUCAAACUCCUGCCUUUCCCCUCCUUACCCACAGGUGGCGCUGUACAGCAUGUAUGUGGCCUGUAUGGCGUUCCAUGCUAAAGUGAGUGACCCGGUGAUUGGUGGGACUUACAUGACCCUGCUGAACACGGUCACCAACCUGGGGGAAACUGGCCCUCCACCCUGGCAUUGUGGAUGGUCGACCCACUCACCUCUAAGGAGUGCCAGGGAGCUGCCGGGCAGAAAUGUGGCUCCCCAGAGGAGACGGGGCUGUGUGUUAAGGAGGGCGGUGUGUGUGUGACGUCGUUGGAUGGGUACUAUGUGGAGUCGGUGGUGUGUGUGUUGAUAGGACUAGCGUGGUGGGUGUGGCUAGGGAACAGGAUGAGAAGGCUACAGGACCAGAGCCCUGCAGCGUGGAGUUGCAGGAUCGGCCAAUGACAACGUUCACCCAGCUCCUGACCCCGGCAAGGCCAAUCGCCAGACAGCUACAGUCUGAUAUAAAAUCUUCUGUCAGCUCAGCCUUUGACCCUGGCCUGAACAUCACUUUCUCUCUCUCAUUUCUGUUUUUCUGUCUUCUUCCGACUCCUUAUUUCUCUCCUUUCUCUGUCCAUCUCUUUCUCCUUCUCUGACUCUUUAUUUCUCUCCUUCCUCUGUCCAUCUCUUUCUCCUUCUCUGACUCUUUAUUUCUCUCCUUCCUCUGUCCAUCUUUCUCCUUCUCUGACUCUUUAUUUCUCUCCUUUCUCUGUCCAUCUCUCUCUCCUUCUCUGACUCUUUAUUUCUCUCCUUUCUGUCCAUCUCUUUCUCCUUCUCUGACUCUUUAUUUCUCUCCUUUCUCUGUCCAUCUCUUUCUCCUUCUCUGACUCUUUAUUUCUCUCCUUCCUCUGUCCAUCUCUCUCUCCUUCUCUGACUCUUUAUUUCUCUCUUUCCUCUGUCCAUCUCUUUCUCCUUCUCUGACUCUUUAUUUCUCUCCUUUCUCUGUCCAUCUCUUUCUCCUUCUCUGACUCUUUAUUUCUCUCCUUUCUCUGUCCAUCUCUUUCUCCUUCUCUGACUCUUUAUUUCUCUCCUUUCUCUGUCCAUCUCUCUCUCCUUCUCUGACUCUUUAUUUCUCUCCUUUCUCUGUCCAUCUCUCUCUCCUUCUCUGACUCUUUAUUUCUCUCCUUUCUCUGUCCAUCUCUUUCUCCUUCUCUGACUCUUUAUUUCUCUCCUUUUUCUGUCCAUCUCUUUCUCCUUCUCUGACUCUUUAUUUCUCUCCUUCCUCUGUCCAUCUCUUUCUCCUUCUCUGACUCUUUAUUUCUCUCCUUCCUCUGUCCAUCUCUCUCUCCUUCUCUGACUCUUUAUUUCUCUCCUUCCUCUGUCCAUCUCUUUCUCCUUCUCUGACUCUUUAUUUCUCUCCUUCCUCUGUCCAUCUUUCUCCUUCUCUGACUCUUUAUUUCUCUCCUUUCUCUGUCCAUCUCUCUCUCCUUCUCUGACUCUUUAUUUCUCUCCUUUCUCUGUCCAUCUCUUUCUCCUUCUCUGACUCUUUAUUUCUCUCCUUUCUCUGUCCAUCUCUUUCUCCUUCUCUGACUCUUUAUUUCUCUCCUUCCUCUGUCCAUCUCUUUCUCCUUCUCUAACUCUUUAUUUCUCUCCUUUCUCUGUCCAUCUCUCUCUCCUUCUCUGACUCUUUAUUUCUCUCCUUUCUCUGUCCAUCUCUUUCUCCUUCUCUGACUCUUUAUUUCUCUCCUUUCUCUGUCCAUCUCUUUCUCCUUCUCUGACUCUUUAUUUCUCUCCUUCCUCUGUCCAUCUCUUUCUCCUUCUCUGACUCUUUAUUUCUCUCCUUCCUCUGUCCAUCUCUCUCUCCUUCUCUGACUCUUUAUUUCUCUCCUUCCUCUGUCCAUCUCUCUCUCCUUCUCUGACUCUUUAUUUCUCUCCUUCCUCUGUCCAUCCCUCUCUCCUUCUCUGAUAACUCUUCUCAGUGUCCCUAUUUUCCCUCUCCCCCUUCUUCCCUUCCUUUGCUCAGUGUAAUAUUAUCCUUCAGCAGUCUGUCUCUGCUUUAACUGUAAUUGUGGGCCGGCCACCACCAGACUAUGGACCAUAACGGUCAAUAACCACAUACUCUCUUGGAGAGUCAAGAGUUACAUUUCUCCUUGCAACGUCACAUCCUCACCAUGGCUUCUGUGGGUGCCGCUUCAACUAUGUCCCAUUGGAAACAAAAGAAGGAACUAUUCUUCUUGCUAGGAAUAUUUACAGUAGACAUAGCUGCUCCUUCUCAAUCCACAUUAUCUGCUACUAUUUCACUAUUUCACUUUCUCACUGUUUAUUUGUGCCUUGCUCUGUUCUUCAAAGACUCUGAUUUUAAAGUUAGUCAGAUAUUUUUAAAAAGGCAUUCAUCAACGAACGGUCAUAAAAAGCAAACCACAUAUAUAUGGAGGGUUAAAUAUGAACUUUGAGAUGUACAGCCAAGACCUAGUUGAUAAAUAGAUCACGUUUCUGUGUGGAACAUGGGAGUCAGAAAUCACAUUUCUAUUCUUGAUGUGAAUCUAUUGUCCCUUCAAAAGAAAUGCCUAAAUUAUAACAUUACUGUUUUAAUAUACACUGAGUGUAUAAAACAUUAGGAACACCUUCCUAUUGAGUUACUAUGUUAAACGUUCCUAAUGUUGAAUUGCACCCCCCUCCUUUUGCCAUGUUGACACCAAUGCUUCGCACAGUUGUCAAGUUGGCUGGAUGUCCUUUGGGUGUUGGACCAUUCUUGAUGGGAAAACUGUUGAGCGUGAAACUAGGCCACGUUGCAUUUCUUUACACAAACUGGUGUGCCUGGCACCUGCUACCAUACCCUGUUCAAAGGCACUUAAAUAUUAUUCUUGACAAUUCACCCUCUGAAUGGCACAAACACAAUUCAUGUCUCAAUUGUCUCCAGGCUUAAAAUCCUUCUUUAACCCGUCUCCUCCCCUUCAUCUACACUGAUUGAAGUGGAUUUAACAGGUGCCAUCAAUAAAGGAUCAUAGCUUUCACCCGGUCAGUCUGUCUUAAUGUUUUGUAUACUCAGCGUAUGUCUCUAAUUUUUGAAUACAACAGUAUUUUCUCUAUACCAGCAAUGACAGGUCAGAGGUUGUGUGAAAGGGAGAAGGCAGUAAACAGUCAUGUCCGGAUCUGGGGAUCACCUGUAUCGGUUCUGUUUGGUUUAUGUCAUAGAACAUUUUAAUGUUUUUCUGUUUGUUAAUUCUCAAGAGUUAUUUUUAUUUAUUUUGGGGGUCUCUGCUCUAUUCUACAUCAGGCUGAACAAAAUAAUUUGCAUUGAUUCAUGUGUGGAACACUGAUAAAUCAGAUUCUGUGUUUCUCCCUUAAUGUCUGCCCCUAACCACCUGUCCACAUUCAGAUGGGACUCAGCUCCUAAAGGUGAAAGUCAGGGUUGGGGUAUAAUGAAAUGAUCCUAGAUCAGGUUGUUCUCCUUUUGUGUGUGUGUGUGUGUGGGGGGGGGGGGAAGACAAAGAGCACGUUGAGUUUCCACACCAAUGCAAAGCCUUUAUUCUGUAACUGAGACUCUUGUUAGCCUUAAACGUUUCAUUUUUUAACUUUCUCUUUAUUUUACAUCUUGUGAUGCUGCUGCAUGUACAUCGCCUUUUAUGUCUGUGUCAGUACUUUUAACAAUUUAAAAUAUUGCCUAAACUCUACCAGCAUUCAUUUACAUAUGGAUAUGUUAGACUUGUUUUGAUUUACCAAAAAUUUAAAUGAAUGUUAUUUGUUUUGUUUUUUUAGCACUUUUUUUUCAUGUCGGUUUGUCUUCAUUUCAGUUGUAAAUUUCUUUUAAAAAAUGUCAAAAACUCCACUCUAGUUAUUUUCCAAGAUGAGUGGAGGGUUUUUAAAAGAAUGUUCAACUACUGAAUUUCCCAUGGAAUACAAAUGAUUUGUGAUGGGCUGUUGCAAACCAAUCUUUGAUUCCCAACUCACAUUUCUAAAAGCUGACGUUAAAGACCUGCUUGGUAUUGGAGUUGUCCCUAGUGGGAACAACUCCGUGGGAAUCGAACCCACAACCCUGGUAUUGCAUGUGCCAUGCUCUACCGAGAGUGAUCCCCGGGUUGGGAUCAAUCCCAUUUAAUUUCCAGUCAGUUCGGGAAGUACACUACAAUUCCAAUUCAAUGCUUUUCAAUUGGAAACAUUUUAGAGAAAAAAAAUCAAUAAUUAUUGACUAGAAUUUCGAUGUGAUUGACCUGAAUUCUGCACUGUAACCUGUGAGACUUGUCCGCUAUGCUGUAAGAUGUUCUGAGUAACUUUUGUACCAACAUUCCCAAGAUGUAAUAUUGAAAAUAUUUACAGUAAUAAAUAUCUUUAUGUAAUACAAUGAA
Oncorhynchus masou masou (cherry salmon) is the source of this 4306-nucleotide long non-coding RNA. RefSeq lists it as uncharacterized. The record is from RefSeq and is a predicted model, not a curated record. The transcript has 2 exons. NCBI's taxonomy places the organism in Eukaryota, Metazoa, Chordata, Actinopteri, Salmoniformes, Salmonidae.